This 443-nucleotide ribosomal RNA is filed under the name uncultured bacterium. RNAcentral's name for it is "partial 16S ribosomal RNA". It matches the Rfam family "Bacterial small subunit ribosomal RNA", at positions 338 to 795 of the family's 1533-position model. The record is from RNAcentral.
CCUACGGGAGGCAGCAGUGGGGAAUAUUGGGCAAUGGGCGCAAACCUGACCCAGCAACGCCGCGUGAAGGAAGAAGGCUUUCGGGUUGUAAACUUCUUUUCUGAGGGACGAAGAAAGUGACGGUACCUCAGGAAUAAGCCACGGCAAACUACGGGCCAGAAGCCGCGGUAAUACGUAGGUGGCAAGCGUUAUCCGGAUUUAUUGGGUGUAAAGGGCGUGUAGGCGGGAAAGCAAGUCAGAUGGGAAAACUCAGGGCUCAACCCUGAGCCUGCAUUUGAAACUGUUUGUCUUGAGUGCUGGAGAGGCAAUCGGGAUUCCGUGUGUAGCGGUGAAAUGCGUAGAUAUACGGAGGAACACCAGUGGCGAAGGCGGAUUGCUGGACAGUAACUGACGCUGAGGCGCGAAAGCGUGGGGAGCAAACAGGAUUAGAUACCCGGGUAGUC